ACUUGGCUCGCUAAUUUUGUAUUUUGGAUUUCCAUCUUUUGGAAAUCCAAAAUUAAUCGGCCAAAUUCACGGAGCCACAAAAUAUAUGUAGGAAGUUAUUUUUUUUUCAUUUUGUCACAAAAUUACAACCCGGUGUCUCAAACUAAAGUGUGAAACUCUACGAUCGUUCAAAAUACGCAAUGGAAGAAGAAAACAAUGUACUUUUUGUCAGGGGAACAGCAAAGGAUACAAAUUUUACUGCGGCGGAUGAUGUUUGGGAUGACACAGCUCUGAUAAAAGCAUAUGACAAAGCAAUCAAUUUGGCUAAGGACAAAGUUGCCAAGCGAAUUGGUAUGGAAUUUGUAUGUACCCCAGAAAACUCUAAACCACAAGUACAAAAAAAAUCGAAUCAGACCAAAGCAAAUCAGAAGUGGACGGUGGGUUCGCCUUGUCGAGCAAUUUAUGCCAAUGACGGCCAAGAGUACGAAGCCAUUGUAACAAACGUGUAUGAGAAAUCUAAAACUUGUCGAGUCACAUUCGUAGGUUAUGGUAACACAGAGAUCGUAGAACUGUCUACGCUACGUGAAUCUCACGGGUUGAAGAGCCAGAUCGAACAGAACAAAAAUUGUCAGGUGGUUGAUGAAAGUCUAGAAAGUUCGCAAGCGACUCAUGCGGGUCUUGAUGCACCAGAAGUAAAUGGAUCUUUAGGGGAACGGAUGGAUUUUGAGAAUGAACAUCAGAGCAUGCCAAAAAAUGUUUUCAACUCUGGCUCAACGUUCAAUUCCUCAUACGGAAUCAUGCCACCGGCACCGCCUUUACCUCCGCAGCUAAUGUCAAAACUUCCUGACAACGAUGCAGACGCCCUUUCCAGUAUGCUCAUGUCCUGGUACAUUAGUGGUUUCCAUACAGGAUAUUAUCACGGCAUUAAACAAGCACGACAUUUGGAAGAGAAACGAAAAAAGUGAUGAAUCGAAUACUUUUAAAAAAAUAUCAACAAAAACACUGAAACAACUGCCCCAUUAUUCUUAUACGGAUUUCUUUAUUUGUUCCCUUGGAAAUUAGAUUGCUGUAUUACCACGGAGCAUUCGUAGCAGCCAAUAAAAUAACAUGAGAAUCAUCAACGGAUUUGAGACCAUCGAGCCUGGAGAGAAGCUCGGCCCUGAAACGUCUCGCUGGUUCGGA
Molecule: RNA transcript, 1161 nt
Organism: Venturia canescens
Lineage: Eukaryota; Metazoa; Arthropoda; Insecta; Hymenoptera; Ichneumonidae
Gene: Smn
Gene name: survival motor neuron
Exons: 7
Source: RefSeq, a predicted model, not a curated record